UACGGAGGGUGCGAGCGUUGUCCGGAAUCAUUGGGCGUAAAGGGCGCGUAGGUGGCCACUUCAAGCGUGCGGUGAAAGUCGGGGGCUCAACCCCUGAUCGGCCGUGCGAACUGGGGGGCUGGAGCACUGUAGAGGCAGGCGGAAUUCCGGGUGUAGCGGUGAAAUGCGUAGAUAUCAGGAGGAACACCUGUGGUGUAGACGGCUUUCUGGACCAUAGCUGACGCUGAGACACGAAAGCGUGGGUAGCAAACAGG
RNAcentral lists this ribosomal RNA (254 nucleotides) under uncultured bacterium. Its description in RNAcentral is "partial 16S ribosomal RNA". It matches the Rfam family "Bacterial small subunit ribosomal RNA", at positions 524 to 776 of the family's 1533-position model. The record is from RNAcentral.